This 712-nucleotide ribosomal RNA is filed under the name Hygrocybe aff. citrinovirens DJL05TN10 (TENN). RNAcentral's name for it is "eukaryotic LSU rRNA". The stretch from base 279 to 432 matches the Rfam family "5.8S ribosomal RNA". The record is from RNAcentral. Lineage: Eukaryota; Fungi; Basidiomycota; Agaricomycetes; Agaricales; Hygrophoraceae.
CUUGGUCAUUUAGAGGAAGUAAAAGUCGUAACAAGGUUUCCGUAGGUGAACCUGCGGAAGGAUCAUUACUGAAGUGCUUGGAGAUGUUGCUGGCUUUCUUCUGAAAGCAAUGUGCACUCUUCCAACUUUUCAUCUCCUUUCACACCCUAUGUGCACUUCUUGUAGGGCUUCUCACAGGCUUUUCCUAUGUGGGAACCUGAGAGAAAGACUCUAUGUUUUUAGCCAUCUUUUACACACUGAAUGUACCUGUAUGUUCUAAAACGAAAGCAAAAAGAAACAACUUUCAACAAUGGAUCUCUUGGCUCUCGCAUCGAUGAAGAACGCAGCGAAAUGCGAUAUGUAAUGUGAAUUGCAGAAUUCCGUGAAUCAUUGAAUCUUUGAACGCAUCUUGCGCCUCUUGGUAUCCCGAGGGGCAUGCCUGUUUGAGUGUCAUGAAAACAUUCAAAGGUAACACUUUUAUUAGUGUUGCCUUUGGACUUUGGGGACAAUAGUGCUGGCGAUAUUUCUAAGUCAGCUUCCCUUAAAUAGAUUAGCAAUGGUCCUUGCUUGCUCUGGCAUUGAUAGGUUUCCUUUUUUCAUGCCUCAGAUUAAGUGGGUUGACUGUUGCUUAUAGCAGUCCUUAGGGACCAAAUGAUCUGUUCAUGACUAACUUGACCUCAAAUCAGGUAGGACUACCCGCUGAACUUAAGCAUAUCAAUAAGGCGGAGGAAAA